GCCCGAGUGGUGAAAUCGGUAGACACAGGGGAUUUAAAAUCCCCCGACCUUCAAGUCGUGCCAGUUCGAGUCUGGCCUCGGGCACCA
This 87-nucleotide transfer RNA is filed under the name Acinetobacter cumulans. RNAcentral describes it as "tRNA-Leu". It matches the Rfam family "tRNA". Rfam says of the family: Transfer RNA (tRNA) molecules are approximately 80 nucleotides in length. Lineage: Bacteria; Pseudomonadati; Pseudomonadota; Gammaproteobacteria; Moraxellales; Moraxellaceae. RNAcentral also lists the same sequence under 7 other names. The record is from RNAcentral.